This 451-nucleotide ribosomal RNA is filed under the name uncultured bacterium. Its description in RNAcentral is "bacterial SSU rRNA". It matches the Rfam family "Bacterial small subunit ribosomal RNA", at positions 29 to 524 of the family's 1533-position model. The record is from RNAcentral.
AGCGAACGCUGGCGGCAGGCUUAACACAUGCAAGUCGAGCGGGCGUAGCAAUACGUCAGCGGCAGACGGGUGAGUAACGCGUGGGAACGUACCUUUUGGUUCGGAACAACACAGGGAAACUUGUGCUAAUACCGGAUAAGCCCUUACGGGGAAAGAUUUAUCGCCGAAAGAUCGGCCGCGUCUGAUUAGCUAGUUGGUGAGGUAACGGCUCACCAAGGCGACGAUCAGUAGCUGGUCUGAGAGGAUGAUCAGCCACAUUGGGACUGAGACACGGCCCAAACUCCUACGGGAGGCAGCAGUGGGGAAUAUUGGACAAUGGGCGCAAGCCUGAUCCAGCCAUGCCGCGUGAGUGAUGAAGGCCUUAGGGUUGUAAAGCUCUUUUGUCCGGGAAGAUAAUGACUGUACCGGAAGAAUAAGCCCCGGCUAACUUCGUGCCAGCAGCCGCGGUAAU